AUGAUGGAUCUGGACCAAACUUGGCACGAAUAUGCAAUAUGCCCAAAUGUGAACACUGGUGGAGUUUGGGGGAAAUAGACCUUGACAUUUGGAAGUUGUAGUUGCUGGGAUUUAUAGUUCAACUAUCAUCAAAGAGCAUUCUGAACUUCACCAAUGAUGGAAUUGAACCAAGCUUGGCACACAGAACUCCCAUAACCAACAGACCUCCCAUGACUCACAACCUCUGAGGGUGCCUGCCAUAGAUGCAGGCAAAAUGUCAGGAGAGAAUGCUUCUAGAACAUGGCCAUAUAGCCCAAAAAACCUAGAACAACCCAGCUGACAUGUUGCUGAUUAAUGAAGCAUGAUCAUUCUUGUGCGAUCCGUCCCUUCGCACAAUUUAACCCGAUCAUGAUCCAGAUUUUGGGGUUAACAUGCAACGAUCCCCCUUUAAUUUAUUUGUGUGACGAAAGAAGACGAGAAGAAGUGUCGGAUGACAUCGUGGUUUAAUAAACCACGAAUCCUGGCUUAACGUGGCAGUUUGAAUGCAGCCAAUGUGUGAUGUGUAUAAGAAAUGUUAGUGGGUCAUCCCACAGAUAUAUAAACCCAUUUUCCUAGUUCCAACAGACCUCACUACCUCUGAGGAUGCUUGCCAUAGAUGCAGGCGGAACGUCAGGAGAGAAUGCCUCUAGAACAUGGCCAUAUAGCCCGAAAAACCUACAACAACCCACUGUUAGUGGCUCAUUUUUUAAAAUCUGAAACCAUGCUCCUCUCUGGCUUGCUUUGUCCCAUCAAUGUCUUUGGGACAAGAUGCCCUUUGCUCUUGAGUGGAGGAGAGCUCUUGUCCGCAUGGUCUAUAAGCUGAUGCUCUUGGCUUCUGGAUGUCUUUGGUGGCCAAACUUCAUGCUUUAUAUUCCAUGAUCUUGGCUUCUUUGGUGGCCAAACUCCACACUUUCUGUUGUUCAGCAUGGAAUGACAACGGUGUGAGGAACUGAGGCCUGCUGUUUGGAAGCUCCAUAAGAUAAUAGAGAAGCUUUUCCUGUGACUCAAGUGUCUCCAUGUUGUGUGUCGUCCCCAUCAAGACCAUUUAUGAAGGACAAGCCACCAUCUGUCCCAUGCUAAACACAGGGUCGCUUUGUGUUUGCCAUACAAUGUAGUUCUGGUGUUGGAGGGCCACAUCUUCUGUAGCAGUCUGGACACGGCAGAGAUGUCAAACUGGUGGACCUUCAGGUGUUGAGAACCACUGUGUUGGGGGCUCUUACCUCCAGUGACCGGGAAUUCUGGAAACUGGAGUCCAGUACAUCUGGAGAGCCACAAGUGGGACACCUCUGGGACCUGGGACUGACCCAUAGCAUGCACCCUUGUCCAACUUCAUCCCCUUUGCUCCAAGAGCCCUUGACGUCCGCUCUCAAAAGUCUCGUGCAGCACGACCUUCUUGUUGUGUAGCCUCCACCUCUGACAGCCUGUUUGUGGCAGUUCUGGUGUCGCGCAAAGGAUUUCGGGUCUCUCUGGAACUGCCGGGACUCUUGACGAAAGAGUGACCAAAGCUGGGCAAAACUGCCACCCUCUUUUUACGGAGCUGUAAUGUGCCUUUUCUGUUUUUCUCCUCUCUUUGUUUUCAGUUGUGUUGGAUUAGAUUUGUUUUCGGUGAGCAAACGGAAAAAAAAAACGUGUAAAAACCCUUUGAGUGUGAACCUCUCGUUUUCCAUAGAUUGUUAGCUAAUUUUUUUUUGGAUUAAAUUAUUACUCACUCUC
Long non-coding RNA from Anolis sagrei ordinatus, 1731 nucleotides. RefSeq lists it as uncharacterized. The record is from RefSeq and is a predicted model, not a curated record. NCBI's taxonomy places the organism in Eukaryota, Metazoa, Chordata, Lepidosauria, Squamata, Anolidae.